Molecule: ribosomal RNA, 164 nt
Filed under: Heliopsis helianthoides
Lineage: Eukaryota; Viridiplantae; Streptophyta; Magnoliopsida; Asterales; Asteraceae
Description: 5.8S ribosomal RNA
Rfam family: 5.8S ribosomal RNA
About the family: 5.8S ribosomal RNA (5.8S rRNA) is a component of the large subunit of the eukaryotic ribosome. It is transcribed by RNA polymerase I as part of the 45S precursor that also contains 18S and 28S rRNA.
Source: RNAcentral
AAGAUGACUCUCGGCAACGGAUAUCUCGGCUCAUGCAUCGAUGAAGAACGUAGCAAAAUGCGAUACUUGGUGUGAAUUGCAGAAUCCCGUGAACCAUUGAGUUUUUGAACGCAAGUUGCGCCCGAAGCCAUCCGGUUGAGGGCACGUCUGCCUGGGCGUCACGC